This 324-nucleotide ribosomal RNA is filed under the name Arrhipis sp. 5 LB-2009. Its description in RNAcentral is "partial 12S ribosomal RNA". Lineage: Eukaryota; Metazoa; Arthropoda; Insecta; Coleoptera; Eucnemidae. The record is from RNAcentral.
AUUAUUAGUUUAUUUUUUUGAAAUCUAAAGUAUAUGGCGGUGUUUUUUCUACUCAGAGGAACCUGUUUCGUAAUUGAUAGUCCACGAUUUAAUUUACUUUAAUUUUUAGUUUGUAUAUCGUUGUGGUUGAUUAUUUUAAUAAAAUUAAAAAUAAUUAGUAAUUUUAAUUAAAUUUAAAUCAAAUCAAGAUGCAGUUUAUAUUAAAGAGGUUAAUGGGUUACAUUAAAGAUUAUUUUUGGUUUAUUAUUUUUAAAUUUAAUAAUAAAUUGGAUUUGAGAGUAAUAUUAUUUAAAUAUUUUAUAUGAAUAGAGCUCUAAGACAUGC